This 213-nucleotide ribosomal RNA is filed under the name Triticum aestivum (bread wheat). RNAcentral's name for it is "partial small subunit ribosomal RNA". Lineage: Eukaryota; Viridiplantae; Streptophyta; Magnoliopsida; Poales; Poaceae. The record is from RNAcentral.
UCAACAACCACAGAGGCAGCGCGCCAAAACAAGGAUACUAUCCUUCUGGAUAUUGUAAUCCUCCAGGGUGCCGCCAUCCUCCAGCGGCCUACAACCAUAGCUGAUGCGCUGCUGUAUUGGGCGAGUGCCAUCUUUCUCGUAGAUCUUCACCUUGAUACUAGCGACAGUGUCCGAGAUUGCCACCCCAUCAAGGGUGAGGGUCUUCCCAUCUAG